UACGUAGGGGACAAGCGUUGUCCGGAAUGACUGGGCGUAAAGGGCGCGUAGGCGGUCUAUUAAGUCUGAUGUGAAAGGUACCGGCUCAACCGGUGAAGUGCAUUGGAAACUGGUAGACUUGAGUAUUGGAGAGGCAAGUGGAAUUCCUAGUGUAGCGGUGAAAUGCGUAGAUAUUAGGAGGAACACCAGUGGCGAAGGCGGCUUGCUGGACAAAUACUGACGCUGAGGUGCGAAAGCGUGGGGAGCGAACAGG
This 253-nucleotide ribosomal RNA is filed under the name Eubacterium callanderi. Its description in RNAcentral is "partial 16S ribosomal RNA". It matches the Rfam family "Bacterial small subunit ribosomal RNA", at positions 524 to 776 of the family's 1533-position model. RNAcentral also lists the same sequence under 2 other names. The record is from RNAcentral. Lineage: Bacteria; Bacillati; Bacillota; Clostridia; Eubacteriales; Eubacteriaceae.